RNAcentral lists this ribosomal RNA (253 nucleotides) under uncultured bacterium. RNAcentral describes it as "partial 16S ribosomal RNA". It matches the Rfam family "Bacterial small subunit ribosomal RNA", at positions 524 to 776 of the family's 1533-position model. The record is from RNAcentral.
UACGGGGGGGGUAAGCGUUGUUCGGAAUUACUGGGCGUAAAGGGCUCGUAGGCGGCCAACUAAGUCAGACGUGAAAUCCCCCGGCUUAACCUGGGAACUGCGUCUGAUACUGGGAGGCUCGAGUAUGGGAGAGGGAUGUAGAAUUCCAGGUGUAGCGGUGAAAUGCGUAGAUAUCUGGAGGAAUACCGGUGGCGAAGGCGGCAUCCUGGACCAUUACUGACGCUGAAUCGCGAAAGCUAGGGGAGCAAACGGG